This 656-nucleotide ribosomal RNA is filed under the name uncultured bacterium. RNAcentral's name for it is "bacterial SSU rRNA". It matches the Rfam family "Bacterial small subunit ribosomal RNA", at positions 86 to 738 of the family's 1533-position model. The record is from RNAcentral.
CCCUUGAGAGUGGCGAACGGGUGAGUAAUAUAUCGGAACGUGCCCAGUCGUGGGGGAUAACGUAGUGAAAAUUACGCUAAUACCGCAUACGAUCUAAGGAUGAAAGCGGGGGAUCGCAAGACCUCGCGCGACUGGAGCGGCCGAUAUCAGAUUAGGUAGUUGGUAGGGUAAAGGCCUACCAAGCCAACGAUCUGUAGCUGGUCUGAGAGGACGACCAGCCACACUGGAACUGAGACACGGUCCAGACUCCUACGGGAGGCAGCAGUGGGGAAUUUUGGACAAUGGGCGAAAGCCUGAUCCAGCCAUUCCGCGUGCAGGAUGAAGGCCCUCGGGUUGUAAACCACUUUUGUACGGAACGAAACGGUUCGCUUUAAUACAGUGGGCUAAUGACGGUACCGUAAGAAUAAGCACCGGCUAACUACGUGCCAGCAGCCGCGGUAAUACGUAGGGUGCGAGCGUUAAUCGGAAUUACUGGGCGUAAAGCGUGCGCAGGCGGUUAUAUAAGACAGUUGUGAAAUCCCCGGGCUCAACCUGGGAAUUGCAUCUGUGACUGUAUAGCUAGAGUACGGUAGAGGGGGAUGGAAUUCCGCGUGUAGCAGUGAAAUGCGUAGAUAUGCGGAGGAACACCGAUGGCGAAGGCAAUCCCCUGGACCUGU